This 492-nucleotide ribosomal RNA is filed under the name uncultured bacterium. RNAcentral describes it as "partial 16S ribosomal RNA". It matches the Rfam family "Bacterial small subunit ribosomal RNA", at positions 29 to 507 of the family's 1533-position model. The record is from RNAcentral.
AAUGAACGCUGGCGGUAGGCCUAACACAUGCGAGUCGAACGGCAGCACAGUAAGAGCUUGCUCUUACGGGUGGCGAGUGGCGGACGGGUGAGGAAUACAUCGGAAUCUACUUUUUCGUGGGGGAUAACGUAGGGAAACUUACGCUAAUACCGCAUACGACCUACGGGUGAAAGCAGGGGAUCUUCGGACCUUGCGCGAUUGAAUGAGCCGAUGUCGGAUUAGCUAGUUGGCGGGGUAAAGGCCCACCAAGGCGACGAUCCGUAGCUGGUCUGAGAGGAUGAUCAGCCACACUGGAACUGAGACACGGUCCAGACUCCUACGGGAGGCAGCAGUGGGGAAUAUUGGACAAUGGGCGCAAGCCUGAUCCAGCCAUACCGCGUGGGUGAAGAAGGUCUUCGGGUUGUAAAGCCCUUUUGUUGGGAAAGAAAAGCAGCAGGUUAAUACCCCGCUGUUCUGACGGUACCCAAAGAAUAAGCACCGGCUAACUUCGUG